CGGGGUGCAGCAGGCGCGAAACCUUUACAAUGCACGAAAGUGUGAUAGGGGGAUACUCAGUGCUUACGCUUAUGGUGUAGGCUUUUGUCGAUCGUAAAUAGAUCGGCGAAUAAGUGGUGGGUAAGACCGGUGCCAGCCGCCGCGGUAACCCCGGCGCCACAAGUGGUUAUCACGAUUAUUGGGCCUAAAGCGUUCGUAGCCGGUUUGGUGCAUCUCUUGUGAAAUUGUUCGGCUUAACCGGACAGCGUGCAGGAGACACGGCCAAGCUCGAGACCGGGAGGGGUUAGAAGUAUUCCAUGGGGACUGGUAAAAUGGGAUAAUCCAUGGAAGACUACCGAUGGCGAAGGCAUCUAACCAGAACGGAUCUGACGGUGAGGAACGAAAGCCAGGGGAGCGAACCGGAUUAGAUACCCGAGUAGUCCUGGCCGUAAACGCUGUGUGCUAGGUGCCGCGUAUCUCACGAAGAUGCGCGGUGUCGAAACGAAGGUGCUAAGCACACCGCCUGGGAAGUACGGUCGCAAGACUGAAGCUUUAAGGAAUUGGCGGGGGAGCAC
RNAcentral lists this ribosomal RNA (554 nucleotides) under uncultured archaeon. Its description in RNAcentral is "bacterial SSU rRNA". It matches the Rfam family "Archaeal small subunit ribosomal RNA", at positions 326 to 879 of the family's 1478-position model. The record is from RNAcentral.